Cebus imitator (Panamanian white-faced capuchin) is the source of this 111-nucleotide small nucleolar RNA. Lineage: Eukaryota; Metazoa; Chordata; Mammalia; Primates; Cebidae. The record is from Ensembl.
CUGCAUCCGUUGAUAGACCUUGAACAGUUUGCGCCGGGAUGCAAAAGAAAGAAAUCCCUGCACUUCCUUUCGGUCUUUCUGGCAGCCCAGAGUGAACUGGGGAAUAUAUCU